GAUCCUGGCUCAGGAUGAACGCUAGCUACAGGCUUAACACAUGCAAGUCGAGGGGCAGCGGGAUUGAAGCUUGCUUCAAUUGCCGGCGACCGGCGCACGGGUGAGUAACGUGUAUCCAACCUUCCGUACACUCAGGGGUAGCCUUUCGGAAGAAAGAUUAAUACCUGAUGGCAUCUCUAGAAGACAUCUGAAAGAGAUUAAAGAUUUAUCGGUGAUGGAUGGGGAUGCGU
This 230-nucleotide ribosomal RNA is filed under the name uncultured bacterium. RNAcentral's name for it is "partial 16S ribosomal RNA". It matches the Rfam family "Bacterial small subunit ribosomal RNA", at positions 15 to 236 of the family's 1533-position model. The record is from RNAcentral.